RNAcentral lists this ribosomal RNA (354 nucleotides) under uncultured fungus. RNAcentral's name for it is "eukaryotic LSU rRNA". It matches the Rfam family "Eukaryotic large subunit ribosomal RNA", at positions 40 to 398 of the family's 3401-position model. The record is from RNAcentral. Lineage: Eukaryota; Fungi.
AUAUCAAUAAGCGGAGGAAAAGAAACCAACAGGGAUUGCCCCUAGUAACGGCGAGUGAAGCGGCAACAGCUCAAAUUUGAAAUCUGGCUUCGGCCCGAGUUGUAAUUUGCAGAGGACGAUUCUGGCGCGGCAUCUACUGAGUCCCCUGGAACGGGGCGCCAUAGAGGGUGAGAGCCCCGUAAGGUAGGACGCCAAGCCUUUGUGAAUCUCCUUCGACGAGUCGAGUAGUUUGGGAAUGCUGCUCUAAAUGGGAGGUAAAUUCCUCCUAAAGCUAAAUACUGGCCAGAGACCGAUAGCGCACAAGUAGAGUGAUCGAAAGAUGAAAAGCACUUUGAAAAGAGGGUUAAACAGCAC